RNAcentral lists this ribosomal RNA (440 nucleotides) under uncultured bacterium. RNAcentral's name for it is "partial 16S ribosomal RNA". It matches the Rfam family "Bacterial small subunit ribosomal RNA", at positions 338 to 795 of the family's 1533-position model. The record is from RNAcentral.
CCUACGGGGGGCAGCAGUAGGGAAUAUUGCUCAAUGGGGGAAACCCUGAAGCAGCAACGCCGCGUGGAGGAUGAAGGUUUUAGGAUUGUAAACUCCUUUUGUGAGAGAAGAUAAUGACGGUAUCCAACGAAUAAGCACCGGCUAACUCCGUGCCACCAGCCGCGGUAAUACGGAGGGUGCAAGCGUUACUCGGAAUCACUGGGCGUAAAGAGUGCGCAGGCGGGCUUGUAAGUCAGAUGUGAAAGCCUGUGGCUUAACUACAGAACUGCAUGUGAAACUAUGAGUCUAGAGUAUGGGAGAGGUAGGUGGAAUUCUUGGUGGAGGGGUAAAAUCCGUAGAUAUCAAGAGGAAUACUCAUUGCGAAGGCGACCUACUGGAACAUUACUGACGCUCAUGCACGAAAGCGUGGGGAGCAAACAGGAUUAGAUACCCGGGUAGUC